Molecule: ribosomal RNA, 272 nt
Filed under: uncultured bacterium
Lineage: Bacteria
Description: partial small subunit ribosomal RNA
Rfam family: Bacterial small subunit ribosomal RNA
Source: RNAcentral
AGAAUCAACGCUGGCGGCGUGCCUAACACAUGCAAGUCGAACGCGAAAGCCCCGCAAGGGGUUAGUAGAGUGGCAAACGGGUGAGUAACACGUGGGUGACCUGCCUUCGAGUGGGGGAUAACGUCCCGAAAGGGACGCUAAUACCGCAUGACAUCCUGCCUUUGGAAAGGCGGAGAUCAAAGCUGGGGAUCGCAAGACCUGGCGCUUGAAGAGGGGCCCGCGCCUGAUUAGCUAGUUGGUAGGGUAACGGCCUACCAAGGCAACGAUCAGUA